RNAcentral lists this ribosomal RNA (689 nucleotides) under uncultured Bacteroidales bacterium. RNAcentral's name for it is "bacterial SSU rRNA". It matches the Rfam family "Bacterial small subunit ribosomal RNA", at positions 32 to 715 of the family's 1533-position model. The record is from RNAcentral. Lineage: Bacteria; Pseudomonadati; Bacteroidota; Bacteroidia; Bacteroidales.
AACGCUAGCUACAGGCUUAACACAUGCAAGUCGAGGGGCAUCAGGAACAAAGCUUGCUUUGUUUGCUGGCGACCGGCGCACGGGUGAGUAACGCGUAUCCGACCUACCCAUAACACGGGCACAGCCGCUCGAAAGAGUGAUUGAUUCCCGAUAUGUCUUUAGAGUAGCUCUAAUGAUGAAAGAUUUAUCGGUUAUGGAUGGGGAUGCGUAAGAUUAGGUAGUAGGCGGGGUAACGGCCCACCUAGCCGACGAUCUUUAGGGGUUCUGAGAGGAAGGUCCCCCACACUGGUACUGAGACACGGACCAGACUCCUACGGGAGGCAGCAGUGAGGAAUAUUGGUCAAUGGGCGGAAGCCUGAACCAGCCAAGUAGCGUGAAGGAUUACAGCCCUACGGGUUUUAAACUUCUUUUAUAUGAGAGUAAUGUGCACUACGUGUAGUGUAUUGCAAGUAUCAUAUGAAUAAGCAUCGGCUAACUCCGUGCCAGCAGCCGCGGUAAUACGGAGGAUGCGAGCGUUAUCCGGAUUUAUUGGGUUUAAAGGGAGCGUAGGCGGGAUAUUAAGUCAGUCGUCAAAGCCUGUGGCUCAACCACAGCCCGCGAUUGAUACUGGUAACCUUGAGUGCGGAUGAGGUGGAUGGAAUUCGUGGUGUAGCGGUGAAAUGCUUAGAUAUCACGAAGAACUCCGAUUG